RNAcentral lists this ribosomal RNA (374 nucleotides) under Priestia megaterium. Its description in RNAcentral is "bacterial SSU rRNA". It matches the Rfam family "Bacterial small subunit ribosomal RNA", at positions 1127 to 1499 of the family's 1533-position model. Lineage: Bacteria; Bacillati; Bacillota; Bacilli; Caryophanales; Bacillaceae. The record is from RNAcentral.
UUAGUUGGGCACUCUAAGGUGACUGCCGGUGACAAACCGGAGGAAGGUGGGGAUGACGUCAAAUCAUCAUGCCCCUUAUGACCUGGGCUACACACGUGCUACAAUGGAUGGUACAAAGGGCUGCAAGACCGCGAGGUCAAGCCAAUCCCAUAAAACCAUUCUCAGUUCGGAUUGUAGGCUGCAACUCGCCUACAUGAAGCUGGAAUCGCUAGUAAUCGCGGAUCAGCAUGCCGCGGUGAAUACGUUCCCGGGCCUUGUACACACCGCCCGUCACACCACGAGAGUUUGUAACACCCGAAGUCGGUGGGGUAACCUUUAUGGAGCCAGCCGCCUAAGGUGGGACAGAUGAUUGGGGUGAAGUCGUAACAAGGUAG